Molecule: ribosomal RNA, 496 nt
Filed under: uncultured bacterium
Lineage: Bacteria
Description: partial 16S ribosomal RNA
Rfam family: Bacterial small subunit ribosomal RNA
Source: RNAcentral
AUUGAACGCUGGCGGAAUGCUUUACACAUGCAAGUCGAACGGUAGAGGGGGCAACCCCUCGAGAGUGGCGAACGGGUGAGUAAUAUAUCGGAACGUGCCCAGUCGUGGGGGAUAACGUAGCGAAAGUUACGCUAAUACCGCAUACGAUCUAAGGAUGAAAGCGGGGGAUCGCAAGACCCCGCGCGAUUGGAGCGGCCGAUAUCAGGUUAGGUAGUUGGUGGGGUAAAGGCUCACCAAGCCAACGAUCUGUAGCUGGUCUGAGAGAACGACCGGCACCACUGAAAAGGAGACACGGUCCAGACUCCUACGGGAGGCAGCAGUGGGGAAUUUUGGACAAUGGACGCAAGUCUGAUCCAGCCAUUCCGCGUGCAGGAUGAAGGCCAUCGGGUUGUAAACUGCUUUUGUACGGAACGAAAAGGUCUCUCUUAAUACGGGGGACUCAUGACGGUACCGUAAGAAUAAGCACCGGCUAACUACGUGCCAGCCGCCGCGGUAA